RNAcentral lists this ribosomal RNA (322 nucleotides) under uncultured eukaryote. RNAcentral describes it as "partial 18S ribosomal RNA". It matches the Rfam family "Eukaryotic small subunit ribosomal RNA", at positions 1470 to 1796 of the family's 1831-position model. The record is from RNAcentral.
CCCUUAGAUGUUUUGGGCCGCACGCGUGCUACACUGAGUGGAUCAGCGGGUCAGGUUGCGCGAAAGUGUUUCCUAAUCUUGAAAUCCGCUCGUGAUGGGGAUUGACGGUUGCAAUUUUCCGUCAUGAACGAGGAAUACCUUGUAAGCGCGGGUCAUCAUCCCGCGCUGAAUACGUCCCUGCCCUUUGUACACACCGCCCGUCGCUCCUACCGAUUGAGUGGUCCGGUGAGGCUUUGGGAUCUGAGCGGAAAGAGCGUUUCGCUGUUUCUGCUCGGAAAACUCAGUCGAACCUUAUCAUUUAGAGGAAGGAGAAGUCGUAACA